AGUUAACUAGCUUAUAAUAAAGCACAUAUUUUGAAAAUAUGAGAAGGAGAUAAUUUCCUUUAACUU
This 66-nucleotide transfer RNA is filed under the name Opistoplatys sp. HL-2013. RNAcentral's name for it is "tRNA-Ser". The record is from RNAcentral. Lineage: Eukaryota; Metazoa; Arthropoda; Insecta; Hemiptera; Reduviidae.